Molecule: non-coding RNA, 165 nt
Filed under: Rhodosorus marinus
Lineage: Eukaryota; Rhodophyta; Stylonematophyceae; Stylonematales; Stylonemataceae
Source: RNAcentral
AGGGCGGGAGACAAGUUUGGACCCAAUACAAAGAACCGAGUCGCCAGGGGAAGUUGGAGAUAAAUUGUCGACCGAUAUGAGCGAUGAAGGAGAUGACGAAUCAUCCAAAAAGGAAUCUAGAAAGAGAAGACGAAACGGUCAAACUUCUCAGGAGCAAGCUGUGGC